This is a long non-coding RNA of Homo sapiens (human), 2173 nucleotides long. RefSeq lists it as uncharacterized. The record is from RefSeq and is a predicted model, not a curated record. NCBI's taxonomy places the organism in Eukaryota, Metazoa, Chordata, Mammalia, Primates, Hominidae. The transcript has 3 exons.
UUCUGUCACAGCUUUCGAGUCUUGAGGCUUAAUCACCCUGCUGUUCUGCCUUUUCUCUAUUUCAUGAAAGAAAGGGUAGAGAAGACACGUGUGUAUUUCACACAGACUUCUUUGGUUCCUUUUGACGAUUUCUGCGUGCCUCUUCCCUGAUUCCUCCUUGUGUUUGCUGCUAACAGCCUGCCCAUGUGAAAUGCUUCAGAACCCUGCCCUUGGGCUCACGGAGUCAUGUUGCCUACACCUGGGAAUUUGGAUGGCCCUUAGCAAGUGACUUACUCUGUGGGAGCACAAAAACCCAGCUCCCUUGGCUGGGGUCAGGACGAACACAUCCUCAUGCUAUGCACAUAUAACCAAAUCAAGGCACCAGUAUUUACUGUGGAAUUCAAGAGGAAAAGCUCAGUCUCUGUGGGAAUGGCUUAGAAACAGUGAUUCCCACCCAUUUCCAGACUCCUUGGAAGUUAAAUUCAAGUCAACAGCUGCCAAAGAACUUUCCGUGAGUCGAGGACACUACCAAGCAUGGAAGGAUUAGAGAGAAGUCCAACCAAGCCCAUGACACUUGCCUGGAGGCCACUUCUGUACCAAUCAUCUCUGUUAGUGACACAUCUUCUUUCUUUGGUUUUUGACCUGUCAAGGCCAAUCCUCAGAGAAUCCUAAUGGCUGGAGAAUGUACUGGGUUUCUGAAAGACAAGAGUUGGGCUCCAACCAAAGAUGAAUUGGCUCAACCUGUGGGAGCCAUGAACUAGCUUGACGUGAAGCUUCGGGUCAGUGAGGAUUGUCUACAGGAGGACUUUGUGACAAGUACACUAUUUACCAAGGUAGUGAGGGGAGUGUACAGUCUCCCUGAAGGUUGCCAAGAAUUUUAGGUUGUUUCCCAAUCUGCAGGCACUGGUGUGUUGUCCCCCAGCUCUGGUCAGCAUGUGGCUUCUGCCCAGCAGCUUUAAUGUUGUUACAUACUGCAUAUCCCCCGUGCCUUUUGCAAAAUGGCUAGCAAGAACACAUCCCUGUCUUUCCUCUGUCUGUGGUGAAGCAGAAGUUGGCUGCCAUCUACCUCUACCAUGUGAACUCAUGCUGGUCCUACCACUGAUGCUAAGAGAAGUGCUUUGCCCACAGGUAAACAAUUCAGAAAGGAGCCAGCCUUUAUUGGUUGUAAAAUAAAAAAUCCUGAAUUGCCUUGCCACAAAAAUCUGACUAGUAUAGAAUUAAUAAAGUCAGAUGAUCACAGACUAUGAAAGUUCUCAGAGACUUAGAAAUCCUCUAACGUAGUCUUACUCUACCACCAAGAAUCAGACCAGGGAGAUCAAGACCUAUGGAUAUAGGAAAGGCAGAAUUUUGGAGCUCCAGUGGCACAAUUGGUUAUAUAGGAAAGGCAGAAUUUUUAGGAAGCACUGUGGAAGGGGGAAAAUAUUUCUGAUCCUUUUGUACAACCCUCCUUCCCCAAUCCUUCCCCCACUCAUCAUGCCUUUCCUGGUGCCCAGCAACAAAGGUGUAACAUUAUCACAGUGAGGAAUAGUUUUUGCAGUGCUUUCACAAACAUCAUCUCAUUCCCCUCCCCAAGCACAUUGUGAGGUCUGUGCAGUGGGCAUUAUGAGUCCCAUUAUACAGAUGAGGUUACCCACCAAGGCUCAGAGAGCUUAAAAGACUUUGCUCCAGAGUCGAUGCAUGUUUCAGUUAGGAUUAUGCACAGACACUCAAAAUAGCUGUGGUUAAAACAACAUAAGAGUUUAUUUUUCUUUCCCAUUGGAGACUGGGGGUAAGCUCUGCUCCACAAAGUUAUAGGGACCAAGGAUCCAUCCAUUGCUCUGCCAUUACUAGGAUGUGGUCCUUGCCUUCAUGAUCCAAGAUAGCAGCUAGAACUCCAGCCAUCACAUUUUCAUUCCAGGCAGCAUAAUGAAAGAAUGGGUGGAUGAUAAAAAGAGGGAAGAAAAGCCUGCCCUUUCCCUUUAAGGACACUUGCUGAAAGUUGCACUCACCAUUUCUACCCUGCCUCCAGAAUUUAGUCACAUGGCCACACCUAAUUGCAAGGAAGGCUAGGAAAUAUGGUCUUUAUUCCAGAUGAUCAUGUGCCCAAGUAAAAAUUCGAGGCUCCAUUUCUGUGAAAAGAGGGACACCAUAUAUUGGGAAAAACUAGUCAUUUCUGCUACAGUGAUUUUGCCAUCGAGGGAGGAAUCAGCUUUUA